Molecule: transfer RNA, 75 nt
Filed under: bacterium
Lineage: Bacteria
Also listed under: 1 other name
Description: tRNA-Lys
Rfam family: tRNA
About the family: Transfer RNA (tRNA) molecules are approximately 80 nucleotides in length. Their secondary structure includes four short double-helical elements and three loops (D, anti-codon, and T loops).
Source: RNAcentral
GGGGGUGUAGCUCAGUGGUAGAGCAGCGGCCUCUUAAGCCGUUUGUCGUGAGUUCGAAUCUCACCACCCUCACCA